Molecule: long non-coding RNA, 854 nt
Organism: Bombus huntii
Lineage: Eukaryota; Metazoa; Arthropoda; Insecta; Hymenoptera; Apidae
Exons: 3
Source: RefSeq, a predicted model, not a curated record
ACGUUAAAAACUGUACGAAUUAUUAUGAUUACACUUCCCUUCAUAUUUAGUGAUAUUAACCUUCAUACAAACAACCUCUUCAAGGAAAAACAAAAUUCUUUUUCGAAAAUGGCACUUCCAAUUCUUCUUAUUCUCACUAUUUAAUUGCUAGCCGUAUCAAGUAACAACGAAAAAAAUAAUAAUAUCUAAACGUUAAGCAGGUCCAUAUUUUUGGGGAUACAAUUAAAAAAGUAAAUCGUCGGUGGAAUAUUGUUUCACCUAUCAAGAAUUUUGGAAGAUAUAAUUAGAAAGGUACAACCUGGGUAGAAAAUUGUACUCCUUAUCGAGCAUUUUUGAAAAUAUAAUUGAGAAAGUGGAAUCUGGAUAGAAAAUUGUUUUACCUACGAAGCAUUAUAAAAAUCCUCCCGUUGGCCGCGGAUUCGUUAUCAAGCCUGAGGCCCUCGUCACUAGUGUCACUAUCGACAAUAAAGGUACCCCACGCGCGACCGGACGAUGGAGAACUUCAACGCAGAACCGCUACCUCCCGCGAGCCCUCCCCGGGAGGGCGCCUCGAGCUCGGACUCGGAGAUUCAGACUCGACAUAUAUAUUAUUAUAUAUAUUAUAUAUACUAUUAUAUCUAUAUAAUAUAUGUAUUUAUAUCUAUAAAUAUACGUAUAAAUAUGUCUAUUUAAAAAAAUAAAGUUGACCUUCAUAUAUCGCCAAUAAUAUCGCGUGCGUAAAAAGAAACUAAUUACAUUUAAUUCUUUUUUUACAUUUAUUUUUUAUUAUUAUUUUUUUCACAACUAAUUACAUUUAAUUAUUACAUUUACAUACAUUUAACUAUUAUUACAUACAUUUACAUACAUUUAAUUAU